RNAcentral lists this ribosomal RNA (2166 nucleotides) under Triticum aestivum (bread wheat). Its description in RNAcentral is "partial small subunit ribosomal RNA". The record is from RNAcentral. Lineage: Eukaryota; Viridiplantae; Streptophyta; Magnoliopsida; Poales; Poaceae.
AUGGCUCUUAAGGCUGCAUCAUGCAUACGGUUUUCAAGACUGCGCCUGCUGUCGAGCAGGCUAACAUACUGUUCUUGCUCGGAUGUGCCUGCUUCUCGUGCUUCUGGGGGUACAGCGGGGUCCACUGAGUUCGAAUCUGCAAUCCGGUCGCUCAAGAACAACAAUCUCCGGCCAGAGAUACUGACACGUGUUCUUGAUUCUACUUCAGAUUUGAACUUGUCCCUUCGGAUAUUUAAAUGGGCAUCAAGUCAGAGGAUAUUCGCUCAUACGGCUGACACAUAUGCCUGCAUGAUCUCCAAGCUCGGUGUUGUUGGGAACUGUGAUGAGAUGGACAGCCUCCUAAAGGAGAUGAUUAAAUUGAAUGCCCCUAUAUUGGACAAAAUCUUGAACGAUUUAGUUCAGUUCCUGAGCAAUAAGAACCGUUACGAUGAAGCCUUGCUGGUGAUUCAGAAUGCUUGCUCUGGGAAGCUCAAGAUCUCAGUGUCAUCUUGCAAUGCUGUGCUGUGUGGUUUAGUCAAGGAAGGGAGGGGUUUGCGACCAUUCAUUCGGGCAUACAUGGAGAUUGUGAAGGCUGGGGUCCUUCCUGAUGUGGAAACCUUGAAUUGGUUAAUUGAGGUGUUGUGUGAAGCUGGUAAAUUAGACCUGGCAUUGAUUCAGUUUGACAGGAUGAGCAAGAAAAGGUGUACCCCUAAUAGCCGUACUUUCAAGAUACUCAUAACAGCACUUUGUUCUCACGGCAGAGCAGAUGAAUCGAUAGAACUCUUUGAGAAGAUGAUGCAGCUGAGAUGCAUCCCUGAUAGCUGCUUUUAUGUUCAAGUGCUGCCCCUAUUUUGUAAGUUCAAUAAACCCAAGGAGGCAAGUAAAUUGCAUCAAAUGCUGAAACAAGAUAGCCUUCAGUUGGACCUACAUUUGUAUAGUGCCUUGAUUAAAUGUUUGUGUGAGAACCAACUAUUGGAUGAUGCUGUCACAGCAUUUAAAGAAAUGACAGCGUCAGGUCAUGCACCGAUGACAAAUACGUAUGUGAAUGUUGUAGAUUGCUACUGUACAUUAUCCCAGUUCCACAAAGCUGUGAGUUUUCUUGAGGUAAAUGAUGUCGCAGAAACAGAACCGUAUAAUGUACUGUUGAGAGAGUUAUGUAAAACAGGCACCUUGCGAGAUUUAGUUAGCUAUCUUGAGAAAUUUCGCGCAAGGGGGCUGGUUGAUUGUCGCUCAUGGAACAUAGUUAUCACCCAGUUCUGCAAACAAGGGAACAUUAGAGGAGCAUCUGAGCUUAUUGGUAGAAUGACAGUUUCUUCUUUUACAGCUGAUGAGAGUACUUAUUCUUCUGUUGUAUCUUGUUACUGUCAGUUAGGUUUGUACAGGACUGCCCUAGAUAUGUUCAGAAGAGCCAGUGUUAGCAAUUUGGUACUGAAUUCAGAUUCUUUCUCGCAACUGGUAGAAGGUCUGUGCCACAUGGAGCGGAUCAAAGAAGCUGUUGAAGUUUUUAAAUAUCACUGCAAAAGAGGUUGCAGCCUUACCAAUGAAGCGCUUGAUAUACUAAUCCAAGUGAGUUGUAUGGCUGGAAUGAUACGUGACGCAAUCAGAAUGCGUUCGCUAGCUGUUUGCACUGGCACUUCUUGUGCAUUUUCAACUUAUAACACAAUUAUCCAUGCACUACUGCAUUUGAAGAAGGAGAAGGAUCUGUUGCUUCUCCUUGCACAGAUGCUGAUGGAAGGUUGUCUAUUGGACAGCUACACAUACAAUGUUCUUGUGCGUUGUUUCCUUACCAAGGAGACAAUUCUUGAGGCUGCUCUGUUGUUCAACAAAAUGGUGAAUGAUGGCUUUGUUCCUGACCAAGAGACAUUUGAACUAUUAGUCCCUGAUAUGGCCGUGUUUUCGUUACUAAGCAGGGUUUCAGAAAGUUUACUGAAAGUGGCAAGUAUAGAUGGAAUGGCAAGCCCUAGAAUUUAUAACAUUAUCAUUUAUGGCCUUAUCAAAGAAGGCUUCAAAAGUGAGGCAUGUAAGUUUUUGGAUCAAAUGCUAGACAAGGGAUGGGUACCUGAUUCCAAGACACAUCGUGUGUUAGUUGGGACAGUUGAUGGAGAUGAGCCUAGAGAAGUUGACAAUUCCUUCCAAACAGCUGAUGAUGACACUGUAAGCAAUAUACUGUUGGAGGGUCUAGAAUGA